This 84-nucleotide transfer RNA is filed under the name Hypoxylon sp. FL0543. RNAcentral describes it as "tRNA-Thr". It matches the Rfam family "tRNA". From Rfam's summary of the family: Transfer RNA (tRNA) molecules are approximately 80 nucleotides in length. Lineage: Eukaryota; Fungi; Ascomycota; Sordariomycetes; Xylariales; Hypoxylaceae. The record is from RNAcentral.
GCCCUCUUGGCUCAGUGGUAAAGCGCAUCACUAGUAAUAUCUAGGUGAAUGAUGAGAUCACUGGUUCGAUUCCAGUAGGGGGCA